Long non-coding RNA from Motacilla alba alba, 325 nucleotides. RefSeq lists it as uncharacterized. Lineage: Eukaryota; Metazoa; Chordata; Aves; Passeriformes; Motacillidae. The record is from RefSeq and is a predicted model, not a curated record. The transcript is spliced from 3 exons.
AAAUAUGUCCUUUGGGUUUUCUGAACUGAAUAUCAUGCCCUGGUGCUUGAAAUCACAGACCCAGGUAACAGCUUUUGUUUUCCUGAGGAGACUGUGGAGCCUCCAUCCCUGGAAAUACUCAGAAGCUGUCUGGACACAGUCUUGAGCAGGGAGUUGAACCAGAUGACCUCCAGAGGUCCCUGCCAACAUCAACCAUUCUGCCAUCUCUGUGACUUGUAAUGAGAAUAAAAGCAGCCUGAACAAGAUGUUUUGCCUCAGCCCUUAAUGAAACUGAAUUUAGCUCGUAGUGAAAGAAUUCUGGUGACUUUCCUCUAGCAGAUCUCCA